RNAcentral lists this ribosomal RNA (450 nucleotides) under uncultured bacterium. RNAcentral describes it as "partial 16S ribosomal RNA". It matches the Rfam family "Bacterial small subunit ribosomal RNA", at positions 354 to 796 of the family's 1533-position model. The record is from RNAcentral.
GUGGGGAAUUUUGGACAAUGGGCGCAAGCCUGAUCCAGCCAUGCCGCGUGCAGGAUGAAGGCCUUCGGGUUAUAAACUGCUUUUGUACGGAACGAAAAGACUUCUUCUAAUACAGGAGGUCCAUGACGGUACCGUAAGAAUAAGCACCGGCUAACUACGUGCCAGCAGCCGCGGUAAUACGUAGGGUGCAAGCGUUAAUCGGAAUUACUGGGCGUAAAGCGUGCGCAGGCGGUUAUAUAAGACAGAUGUGAAAUCCCCGGGCUCAACCUGGGAACUGCAUUUGUGACUGUAUAGCUAGAGUACGGUAGAGGGGGAUGGAAUUCCGCGUGUAGCAGUGAAAUGCGUAGAUAUGCGGAGGAACACCGAUGGCGAAGGCAAUCCCCUGGACCUGUACUGACGCUCAUGCACGAAAGCGUGGGGAGCAAACAGGAUUAGAAACCCGUGUAGUCC